RNAcentral lists this ribosomal RNA (253 nucleotides) under uncultured bacterium. RNAcentral describes it as "partial 16S ribosomal RNA". It matches the Rfam family "Bacterial small subunit ribosomal RNA", at positions 524 to 776 of the family's 1533-position model. The record is from RNAcentral.
UACGGGGGGGGCAAGCGUUGUUCGGAAUUACUGGGCGUAAAGGGCUCGUAGGUGGCCAACUAAGUCAUGCGUGAAAUCCCUCGGCUUAACCGGGGAACUGCGUCUGAUACUGGAUGGCUUGAGUUUGGGAGAGGGAUGCGGAAUUCCAGGUGUAGCGGUGAAAUGCGUAGAUAUCUGGAGGAACACCGGUGGCGAAGGCGGCAUCCUGGACCAAUACUGACGCUGAGGAGCGAAAGCCAGGGGAGCAAACGGG